UUUGUUUAUAAGUACAUACUAAAUAUAUAUUAUUCAUGUAAUAAAUAAGAUAUCUGGUGUACAUGCUGGAUCAUGGGGAAAAGUCAUUCUAGACAUUCCAGCAAAUCAUAUGAUAUCAACCAAGAACCAAAACCAGAAGAUACAGAAACCGGAGGUGUAAUUGAAAAAAGCAUCAAAGCUAUCAGCGAUGACCAACAAAGUAGCAAAAAAAAUGACUCAUGUGCUGACAACCACAGUAACUCAGACCCUGAAAAGGACAGCAACCCAGUUCCUAACAAGAACACAGACACAAAUUCAACUUAACAUUUGUUUUGUAUGUUUGUUUGUUCUCGAUUUUGUUUAUUAUACUUAUCGGUACUGAUUUUCAACGGUUGAUAACUAGUCUGUAUAAAUGUGUAGCUAGAUAUAAAACAAAACAAUAAAAGACUUUGUUGUCAUCGUUACUAAACCUAACAA
Long non-coding RNA from Mytilus californianus (California mussel), 456 nucleotides. RefSeq lists it as uncharacterized. NCBI's taxonomy places the organism in Eukaryota, Metazoa, Mollusca, Bivalvia, Mytilida, Mytilidae. The transcript is spliced from 2 exons. The record is from RefSeq and is a predicted model, not a curated record.